Molecule: ribosomal RNA, 346 nt
Filed under: uncultured Bacteroidota bacterium
Lineage: Bacteria; Pseudomonadati; Bacteroidota
Description: bacterial SSU rRNA
Rfam family: Bacterial small subunit ribosomal RNA
Source: RNAcentral
GGUGCUGCAUGGUUGUCGUCAGCUCGUGCCGUGAGGUGUCGGGUUAAGUCCCAUAACGAGCGCAACCCCUAUCAUUAGUUGCCAUCAGGUCAAGCUGGGGACUCUAAUGAAACUGCCUACGCAAGUAGUGAGGAAGGUGGGGAUGACGUCAAAUCAGCACGGCCCUUACGUCCAGGGCUACACACGUGCUACAAUGGCCGGUACAGAGCGCAGCGAGGCCGCGAGGCGGAGCGAAUCGCUUAAAGCCGGUCCCAGUACGGAUUGGAGUCUGCAACCCGACUCCAUGAAGUUGGAAUCGCUAGUAAUCGCGCAUCAGCAUGGCGCGGUGAAUACGUUCCCGGGCCUU